AAGAAAUGAUCAUAAAUGUUCUUCCUUGAGCUGCGGCACCCCGCUGUAGUCCGUAAUGGACUGGCCUGAGGUCUCUCUACAAAUAAGCGUCUGCUGGAAGAGAGUAGGUGAGUUGUGUUUAGUCUCUUUGCUAAAGAAAUGAGUCAAAGUUAAAAAGAUGUUUGGUGUCUAGUACUAUGUCUGUGACCCUACAUGUCCUGUUGAUGAAGUUAGGUGCUGUUCUGAGCAUUAUUUGUGGCUAUAGAGUGGCGUUUUGGUUGAGGGCGUGGCUCUCUGUAUUACUAUCCUGCGGUCGUUACUAAAGUUGGUAUAACUAGAGAAGCAAGCGGUCGACAACAUUCAUCUCUG
This is a non-coding RNA of Xyrichtys novacula (pearly razorfish), 348 nucleotides long. Lineage: Eukaryota; Metazoa; Chordata; Actinopteri; Labriformes; Labridae. The record is from the annotation of a GenBank genome assembly.